Molecule: long non-coding RNA, 228 nt
Filed under: Mytilus galloprovincialis (Mediterranean mussel)
Lineage: Eukaryota; Metazoa; Mollusca; Bivalvia; Mytilida; Mytilidae
Source: RNAcentral
GUUGUUAGGUUGCUGCCCCUGAAUUGGUAAUUUUAAGGAAAUUUUGCCGUUUUUUGUUAUUAUCUUGAAUAUUAUUAUAGAAAGAGAUAAAAUGUAAACAGAAAUAAUGUACAGCAAAGUAAGACCUACAAAUAAGUCAACAUGACCAAAAUGGUCAAUUGACCCCCUUAGGAGUUAUUGUCCUUUAUAGUCAAUUUUUAACAAUUUUCAUAAAAUUUGUAAAUUUUU